This 439-nucleotide ribosomal RNA is filed under the name Streptomyces piomogenus. Its description in RNAcentral is "bacterial SSU rRNA". It matches the Rfam family "Bacterial small subunit ribosomal RNA", at positions 1 to 445 of the family's 1533-position model. Lineage: Bacteria; Bacillati; Actinomycetota; Actinomycetes; Kitasatosporales; Streptomycetaceae. The record is from RNAcentral.
CUCCUUAGAGUUUGAUCCUGGCUCAGGACGAACGCUGGCGGCGUGCUUAACACAUGCAAGUCGAACGAUGAAGCCUUUCGGGGUGGAUUAGUGGCGAACGGGUGAGUAACACGUGGGCAAUCUGCCCUUCACUCUGGGACAAGCCCUGGAAACGGGGUCUAAUACCGGAUAACACUCUGUCCCGCAUGGGGCGGGGUUGAAAGCUCCGGCGGUGAAGGAUGAGCCCGCGGCCUAUCAGCUUGUUGGUGGGGUGAUGGCCUACCAAGGCGACGACGGGUAGCCGGCCUGAGAGGGCGACCGGCCACACUGGGACUGAGACACGGCCCAGACUCCUACGGGAGGCAGCAGUGGGGAAUAUUGCACAAUGGGCGAAAGCCUGAUGCAGCGACGCCGCGUGAGGGAUGACGGCCUUCGGGUUGUAAACCUCUUUCAGCAGGGA